Molecule: ribosomal RNA, 843 nt
Filed under: Gregarina polymorpha
Lineage: Eukaryota; Apicomplexa; Conoidasida; Eugregarinorida; Gregarinidae
Description: bacterial SSU rRNA
Rfam family: Eukaryotic small subunit ribosomal RNA
Source: RNAcentral
CCGUAGUUAGAUAUCAAUUGGUUUGAAAGCAACCUGCAAAGGAUGCAACUUAAACCUUUAACUUGUUACCUUGAGAAAAUGGAGGCGCCUAAGGCACGCGAUAUGUGUGAACUAUCUAGCAUGGAAUAGCACAUUUAAACUGUCAAUAAACAUGCCGAAUGUUUGUUGAUUAGGAUGAUUGAUAAGGGCAGUCGGGGACACUUGUACUUGCUGGAGAGAGGUGAAAUUCUGAGACCCGGCAAAGACACUCAAAUGCGAAAGCUUUUGUCCAGRAUGUUCCUGUUAAUCAAGGACUAAAGUUGGGGGAUCGAAGACGAUUAGAUACCGUCGUAGUCCCAACCGUAAACCAUGCCGACUGAUCGUUGGUUAGAAGUCUGUAUUCUUUUCAGCGUUCGAAAGAAAUUGAAGUUUUUGGGCCCUGGGGGGAGUAUGGUUGCAAGACUGAAACUUAAAGGAAUUGACGGAAGGGCACCACCAGGAGUGGAGCUUGCGGCUUAAUUCGACUCAACGCGUGAAAUUUUACCAGGUCCGGACAUAGUUAUGAUUGACAAACUAAAAGAUUUUUCUAAAUUCUAUGGGUGGUGGUGCAUGGCCGUUCUUAGUCGGUGAGGUGACUUGUCUGGUUUAUUCCGAUAACGGACGAGACCUUGACCUUUAAUUCUCGACUGUUAUCUUAAAUGGAAGAGUCUUAAAGGGACUCAAUGUUCCAAACAUUGGGAAGAUCAAGGCAAUAACAGGUCUGUGAUGCCCUUAGAUAACCUGGGCUGCACGUGUGCUACAAUAACAUGCACAACGAGUACCAAUAUCGAAACGAUGUUGUGAAUCUUCAAAGCGUGUUAAGGU